GGAUGGUGGAUGCAGCUCUCCCAGUCAUCGUUCGUGAAUAGUUCACAUUCUUAGCUCUGUGAUUCUGUGUGUACCCAGGAACAUGGAUCGGUGCCACCAGUUGUUCGUUAUUCCUCCACUGCAGACGACCGAGUAUCGCGAACACUGAACAGUCACCACCGUAGCACGAAAGUGUCGAUUGCAGGACCUUUGACGCAGUACAUGUACUCGUAAUGGGACGUAGCAGGCGGACUGGCUGUGACGCACC
This 247-nucleotide long non-coding RNA is filed under the name Gigantopelta aegis. Its description in RNAcentral is "uncharacterized LOC121375504". Lineage: Eukaryota; Metazoa; Mollusca; Gastropoda; Neomphalida; Peltospiridae. The record is from RNAcentral.